ACAGCAGUAGCCACGGGAAUACGAAGGGGGCUAGCGUUGUUCGGAUUUACUGGGCGUAAAGCGCACGUAGGCGGACUUUUAAGUCAGGGGUGAAAUCCCGGGGCUCAACCCCGGAACUGCCUUUGAUACUGGAAGUCUUGAGUAUGGUAGAGGUGAGUGGAAUUCCGAGUGUAGAGGUGAAAUUCGUAGAUAUUCGGAGGAACACCAGUGGCGAAGGCGGCUCACUGGACCAUUACUGACGCUGAGGUGCGAAAGCGUGGGGAGCAAACAGGAUUAGAUACCCCUGUAGUCCCUGUCUCUUAUAC
Molecule: ribosomal RNA, 305 nt
Filed under: uncultured bacterium
Lineage: Bacteria
Description: partial 16S ribosomal RNA
Rfam family: Bacterial small subunit ribosomal RNA
Source: RNAcentral